GAUAAACGCUGGCGGCGCACAUAAGACAUGCAAGUCGAACGGACUUAACCAUUAGUUUACUAUUGGAGCGGUUAGUGGCGGACUGGUGAGUAACACGUAAGCAACCUGCCUAUCAGAGGGGAACAACAGUUAGAAAUGACUGCUAAUACCGCAUAAGACCACAGCACCGCAUGGUGCAGGGGUAAAAACUCCGGUGGUAUGAGAUGGAUCCGCGUCUGAUUAGCUAGUUGGUAAGGUAACGGCUUACCAAGGCGACGAUCGGUAGCCGACCUGAGAGGGUGAUCGGCCACAUUGGAACUGAGAGACGGUCCAA
Molecule: ribosomal RNA, 313 nt
Filed under: uncultured bacterium
Lineage: Bacteria
Description: bacterial SSU rRNA
Rfam family: Bacterial small subunit ribosomal RNA
Source: RNAcentral